RNAcentral lists this small nuclear RNA (136 nucleotides) under Nannospalax galili (Upper Galilee mountains blind mole rat). Its description in RNAcentral is "U1 spliceosomal RNA (ENSNGAG00000002937.1)". It matches the Rfam family "U1 spliceosomal RNA". From Rfam's summary of the family: U1 is a small nuclear RNA (snRNA) component of the spliceosome (involved in pre-mRNA splicing). The record is from RNAcentral. Lineage: Eukaryota; Metazoa; Chordata; Mammalia; Rodentia; Spalacidae.
AUACUUACCUGGCAUGGGACGUAUCAUGAUCAAGAGGGUGGUUUGUCUGGAUGUGCUAACCACUAUGAUUUCCCCAAAUGGAGGAAACUCACUGCAUAACUGUGGGGUUGGGGGACUGCAGUCACACAUUCCCUUG